RNAcentral lists this ribosomal RNA (400 nucleotides) under uncultured bacterium. Its description in RNAcentral is "bacterial SSU rRNA". It matches the Rfam family "Bacterial small subunit ribosomal RNA", at positions 975 to 1375 of the family's 1533-position model. The record is from RNAcentral.
CACCUUUUGACAUGCCCGGACCGCCCCAGAGAUGGGGUUUUCCCUUCGGGGACUGGGACACAGGUGCUGCAUGGCUGUCGUCAGCUCGUGUCGUGAGAUGUUGGGUUAAGUCCCGCAACGAGCGCAACCCUCGCUGUUAGUUGCCAUCAGGUUUGGCUGGGCACUCUAACAGUACUGCCGAAGUUAAUUCGGAGGAAGGUGGGGAUGACGUCAAGUCCUCAUGGCCCUUACAAGGUGGGCUACACACGAGCUACAAUGGCGACUACAGAGGGCUGCAAACCCGCGAGGGGGAGCCAAUCCCUGAAAGUCGUCUCAGUUCGGAUUGCACUCUGCAACUCGAGUGCAUGAAGUUGGAAUCGCUAGUAAUCGCGGAUCAGCAUGCCGCGGUGAAUACGUUCCC